GUAGCUUUCAAUAUCCUUUCCAUCCACCAUCACUCUCCUCUCAUCUGCUUGUCUUUUCUCUCCUAAUUGGCCAGCGCUCUCCUCUGUGAUUUUGGGAGUUCUUAUGGUCUCAGUAUCAGCAACAAUUCUCCUUUCGCAUAAGCAAGUCACAGGUAGCAGAGAGGUUAGCAAUUCUCCUCUCUGAUUUUUGGGAGUUAUUUUCUUUUACUAGCCCUGAUGGAGGAAUCUUUUACUUUUAAAUCUAUGCUACUUAAUGGGUUUUAUUAAUUUCUUAGGUUUGUAAUUGAUGAUAUUGUAUUUUGGCAUUUACCUAAGUACAUUAGAUUUGUUCUCUUUUAUUUUUUUAGGCCUUUUUCUGUAAAUACAUCGAAUUUUGUUAUUUUUUUUAUGCGUUUGCUGUAAAUCUAUGCCUUGUGAUGCUUGAACCUUGAUGUUGAAUGUGAUAAAUGCGUCGUAAACCUUGCUAUUGCAUGCAUCUGUUUUCCUUCGGAAGAUACAGACUUUGUUCAUCGCUUUUGUUUCAUCCCUACAUAUUUACUCUUUGAACUAACUAUUUUUAAAUAACCUCCUCCUCCCUCUUCUUUUGUAUAUGUAUAAAACAGGACAGGAAAUGAAAUAUUAUCUGCUGUUCAAAUAUUGGCUUUUUUGGAAACACCAUUAUCUUGGAAGAUGAAGGUGUUGGUGUUCAUUCUAAUCAACUAUGCUAUAGCAAUGAUGAUUGAACACGGAGUCCAAACCCAUCGCAACUCAAAUUACAAAAUAUGUGUUAGAAAUAUUCGUCUCCAGUUGGGUUAUGCAGCAAUUGUGCUACUUGCUUUGAUUCAUGUUAUCAGCUAUGGUGUAUUACUUUUGAGUUUAUGCGUCUACUUUGUUAUACGAUUUGCACGCAAUCCAUAUCAAGACUUA
This 906-nucleotide unclassified non-coding RNA is filed under the name Hevea brasiliensis (rubber tree). Lineage: Eukaryota; Viridiplantae; Streptophyta; Magnoliopsida; Malpighiales; Euphorbiaceae. The record is from RNAcentral.